GCCCUUAGAGUUUGAUCCUGGCUCAGGACGAACGCUGGCGGCGUGCCUAACACAUGCAAGUUGUACGAGAAGUUCGCCUUCGAUUCCUUCGGGAUGAAAAGGUGAGCGGAGAGUAGCGAACGGGUGAGUAACGCGUGGGUAAUCUACCCUGUAAGUGGGGAAUAACCCUUCGAAAGGAGGGCUAAUACCGCAUAAUAUCUCCUCUUCAUAAGAUAAGGAGAUUAAAGAUGGCCUCUUCUAUGCUAUCGCUUCAGGAUGAGCCCGCGUCCCAUUAGUUUGUUGGUAAGGUAACGGCUUACCAAGACUAUAAUGGGUAGCCGGUCUGAGAGGAUGUACGGCCACACUGGGACUGAGAUACGGCCCAGACUCCUACGGGAGGCAGCAGUGGGGAAUAUUGCGCAAUGGGGGAAACCCUGACGCAGCGACGCCGCGUGGAUGAUGAAGGCCUUCGGGUUGUAAAAUCCUGUUUUGGGGGACGAAACCUUAAGGGUUUAAUAAACCCUUAAAUUGACGGUACCCCAAGAGAAAGCUCCGGCUAAUUAUGUGCCAGCAGCCGCGGUAAUACAUAAGGAGCAAGCGUUGUCCGGAAUUAUUGGGCGUAAAGGGCUCGUAGGCGGUCUUAAAAGUCAGAUGUUAAAUUACCAGGCUCAACCUGGUACUCCCAUCUGAAACUUUAAGACUUGAGGUUAGAAGAGGAAAGUA
Molecule: ribosomal RNA, 702 nt
Filed under: uncultured bacterium
Lineage: Bacteria
Description: bacterial SSU rRNA
Rfam family: Bacterial small subunit ribosomal RNA
Source: RNAcentral